Molecule: ribosomal RNA, 464 nt
Filed under: Neisseria flavescens
Lineage: Bacteria; Pseudomonadati; Pseudomonadota; Betaproteobacteria; Neisseriales; Neisseriaceae
Description: bacterial SSU rRNA
Rfam family: Bacterial small subunit ribosomal RNA
Source: RNAcentral
AUUGACGCUGGCGGCAUGCUUUUACACAUGCAAGUCGGACGGCAGCACAGAGAAGCUUGCUUCUUGGGUGGCGAGUGGCGAACGGGUGAGUAAUAUAUCGGAACGUACCGAGUAAUGGGGGAUAACUAAUACAGAAAGAUUAGCUAAUACCGCAUAUUCUCUGAGGAGGAAAGCAGGGGACCGUUCGGGCCUUGCGUUAUUCGAGCGGCCGAUAUCUGAUUAGCUAGUUGGUGGGGUAAAGGCCUACCAAGGCGACGAUCAGUAGCGGGUCUGAGAGGAUGAUCCGCCACACUGGGACUGAGACACGGCCCAGACUCCUACGGGAGGCAGCAGUGGGGAAUUUUGGACAAUGGGCGCAAGCCUGAUCCAGCCAUGCCGCGUGUCUGAAGAAGGCCUUCGGGUUGUAAAGGACUUUUGUCCGGGAAGAAAAGGCUGUUGCUAAUACCGACAGCAGAUGACGUGAC